Molecule: unclassified non-coding RNA, 322 nt
Filed under: uncultured fungus
Lineage: Eukaryota; Fungi
Description: partial contains 5.8S ribosomal RNA and internal transcribed spacer 2
Rfam family: 5.8S ribosomal RNA (bases 1-133)
Source: RNAcentral
UGGCUCUGGCAUNGAUGAAGAACGCAGCGAAAUGCGAUAAGUAGUGUGAAUUGCAGAAUUCAGUGAAUCAUCGAAUCUUUGAACGCACAUUGCGCCCCUCGGUAUUCCGUGGGGCAUGCCUGUUCGAGCGUCAUCUACACCCUCAAGCCCUGCUUGGUGUUGGGUGCCUGUCCCGCCCCGCGCGGCGGCUCACCCCAAAUGCAUUGGCGGCGGCGCCUUGCCCCCUCCCGCGCAGCACAUUGCGCUUCUCGAGGCGGCGGGACCGCGUCCACGAAGCCGACAACCCGUCUUUGACCUCGGAUCAGGUAGGGAUACCCGCUGA